AGAUAACCCGGUCUUUUUUUCUCACAUAAUCAACCCGGUCUUCUCCUCUUAUCAAUCUUUCUAAAUCGUAUGGCCAAAUUCCCUUUUCUCUUGCCCUAGAUUCUAGCCCUUUCUCUCACUUCACCGAUUUAGGAUAUUGAUUUCAGAAAUUUCCUCACAUUUUAUUUCCUUCCUUUUUCAAUGGACUCCGAGGAUGAUAUGCACGAUGACAACUACGUGGAGUCGCUCAACAGUGACGAUAUAUACAGCGGUAACAUCGAUGGUGCUGCCAUGGAUUAUUAAAGCGAUUAUGAUGAUGACUCCGGUGAUUAAUUCAACGAUGCCAGUGAAAUUGAGUCUCGUCGACCUGAGCAGAAUUUUACCAUCUUGAAGGAUUCCGAUAUCCAUGUAAGACAAGAAGAUGACAUCAGUAGAGUUGCAACUGUUUAUUCGAUAUCAAGAGUUUUUGCAAGCAUACUACUUUGUCACUACAAUUGGCACCAUGGUGAUUACAAAGGCAAGGAUUACAGGAGACGUGGCAGCAGGAGUUAUGAUAGGUAUGAAUGUGACAGGUACCUUGGCGGAAGAGGCAGGGACUAUCAUUGUCGAAGUAAUGAAAUAGUGCGGUAUAGACCCCAUGAAAUUAGUCAUUGAGUGGAAGUCGAAGUAGAUUGAAUUCGGCGUCAGUUGGGUCAAAGUAACAUUAUGCAACUUUCAGAUCUUUGAGUAUCUAGAAAAUCGGGUAUAAAGAAAGUCGAACUGCGAUGUAACUGACAAUGCAGGAUGAAUAUGAGUUGGCAUAAGAGCUGGAUGUUUGUUAGAACGGGAAAGUACACUCUUUAUGCAUGAGAAUAUGAAGGACCUGCAAACAAGCAACCUUGAAUUUGAAUUAAAAUUUUGUAGAUCCUGAUCAGAUUUCGGCAGCAUUGGAGGUUCUGCAGAGCGGGUGCUGUAAACUGGAGUUGCAAUUUCUUGGUGUAGUUUAUGCAGAGUUGGUAAUGCAAAUAUUUGUAGUGGAGUUGAUCUAAUCAACUAUCAAUCAAAAACAACUUCAUGAGCUGUUAACUGUGCUAGCUUAGAUAGUUCUGUUUGUUGGCAGGGUUGUGGCGGUUUAUGAUUAAUCAGUCCUUCAAUUGUUUGGAAGUGCAGAGGCAGUGUCAGUUUCCUUAAGAGUUUUGAUAUUUGGUUUGUGGUGUGAGAAUUUGAUCCUGCAUGAAUUAGGUGUCAAAGAGUUUAUGGUUUUUUGGUGUGAGAAUCAGAGUUUAGUGUUAUUGAAAAGGAGUGUAGCUUCUGAAGUCCUAUGUUGAUGCGGAUGCUGGUGUAGGUUUUGCAGGCUCGUGCAGGGUCUUAGUUUUAUUGCAAGUGAAGUUUUUAGGCUCAAAUCUAUUCGUUUGUAUUAGUUUGAGGCGUUUGCUUGGUUGUCUUUGUAGUAUUGUUCCCUUCAAUUCGAUGUUGCGUUGGAUCUUAGCUCUGCCAGUGUUCCAUUGUGCCGGUCUUUUUCUUGGUGGCAGCUCCAUAAUUUCAAGUGCGUAGUAUCAUUUGUUUUGUAGUUUUAGGGUGAUUUAGUCCUGGUAUACUUGUAGAUGUUGGUGCAGGCAGAUGGUUUUUAGACUGGUUCGGGUGUUUUAGCGGUAGUGUGGCCUGGUGUGCUUUAUCCUUAUAUUACAGCAGCACUUCUUGUGUUGUUCAUUUUUAGUACAAUUUUAGUUUUUCCAAAUUUUUUAUUUUUUAGAGUUGUUUAUUAUACUUCGUUGUCGAUACACCUGCGUAUACUAAUAGACUUUUGUAUGAUUGCUCCUUGCUUAUUUUUAUCCAGUUUGAUAUGCUUAGUUAAUGCUCUCACCUCGUGAUGUCUAGAUAUAUCACUGCAUGUGAAACCUCAAAGACAGGCUUGGAGUUUUUUGCCAAUGUAAUUCUUAAUGAUAUAUUUUUCAUAUUCAUUUAUUUUCUACUGAAAUUCAUUUAUUUAUUUUAAUUUUUUA
Long non-coding RNA from Vicia villosa (hairy vetch), 1961 nucleotides. RefSeq lists it as uncharacterized. The record is from RefSeq and is a predicted model, not a curated record. NCBI's taxonomy places the organism in Eukaryota, Viridiplantae, Streptophyta, Magnoliopsida, Fabales, Fabaceae. The transcript has 3 exons.